Molecule: non-coding RNA, 78 nt
Organism: Nephila pilipes (giant wood spider)
Lineage: Eukaryota; Metazoa; Arthropoda; Arachnida; Araneae; Nephilidae
Source: the annotation of a GenBank genome assembly
GUCAGAAUGGCCGAGCGCUCUAAGGCGCCAGACUCAAGUUCUGGUCCGUGGAUGUGGGUUCGAAUCCCACUUCUGACA